ACACUGAUGGUGAAACGGUAUCAUGCUUGCCUUCCACUUCCGAGUAACAGGGUGACAGCAAGCGGCGCGGGUUCGACUCCCGCUCAGUGUA
Molecule: non-coding RNA, 91 nt
Organism: Trametes polyzona
Lineage: Eukaryota; Fungi; Basidiomycota; Agaricomycetes; Polyporales; Polyporaceae
Source: the annotation of a GenBank genome assembly